CAGAGACACACACAGAGACACUUAUGAUCAUUAUCAUCAAUCUUCUUUUUAUUAUAAUAAUAAUGAUAAUAAUUAAGUAGUGGUAGUAUUAUCAGUAGUAUUAUCAGUAGUAUUAUCAGUAGUAGUAUCAGUAGUAUUAUCAGUAGUAGUAUCAGUAGUAUUAUCAGUAGUAGUAUCAGUAGUAGUAUCAGUAGUAUUAUCAGUAGUAGUAUCAGUAGUAUUAUACAGAGUAUUAUCAGUAGUAUUAUCAGUAGUAUUAUCAGUAGUAGUAUCAGUAGUAUUAUCAGUAGUAUUAUCAGUAGUAGUAUCAGUAGUAGUAUCAGUAGUAGUAUCAGUAGUAUUAUUCAUAGUAUUAUCAGUAGUAGUAUCAGUAGUAUCAGUAGUAUUAUCAGUAGUAGUAUCAGUAGUAGUAUCAGUAGUAUUAUCAGUAGUAGUAUCAGUAGUAUAGUACGUCUAGUAGUGGUAACUAGUGCUACGGUAAGUAUGAGCAGUAGCACAAAGGACACGUUAUUGUUCAUAAACACGUCCUGCAUAUAAACAGAUCCACUCGCGGUGUGUGUCAGACGUCUGCACCGAGUUCCACUCCACACCGACCCUUAACUUCACACCUUCAGAUGUUUCACAAACCACCGCCUGAGCACCAUCAGUGUUAUUAAAACAUCCUGAGCUUCACAUGUUCCAGCUAAACCAGUGAUGCUAAAGAAAAACAAACACGUGUGCGAGUGUGUGUGUGUGUGUGUGUGUGUGUGUGUGAGUGUGUGUGUGUGCGUCGAGAACGCGUGCAGCGUGUAAAUAUCAAACCCUGAGGUGAGUUACGGAGGUCAGAGCGAAACUCGGAUUUAAACGCCUCACAACAAAAUCCGUUUCGGGCGCGUGAGAAGAGGCUACAGCUAACAUCACGUAGCUUCAACCUCGUCACGUUUUUGUGCUACAUUCGGCCGUAAAAAACACGUCCUGGGCGACUGAACACGUGUAAACCGUGUAAAAUUUCAUUUACAGUCAAACAUUUAUGAAAAACCGCUUGAAGCUGGAUCCUCGAGUCGCAACGAAGAACAACAACAGAAGCAGCUGGACACGUUUCCGUGGCAAUAACUAAACCUGCACGUGUAGCUACAGCCGCGCUCACGUUUGUUUAACUGCGAAAACGCGAAGAAAUCAGGAGAUCUGUAAAGCCCCGCAGGUUCUCGUGUUGAACUCCAACACAGCCUGGAGCUCUGAGGAAGCGCGGCGUAGCGACCUGAAGUUCUCCCGAGGUG
Ictalurus punctatus (channel catfish) is the source of this 1256-nucleotide long non-coding RNA. The record is from Ensembl. NCBI's taxonomy places the organism in Eukaryota, Metazoa, Chordata, Actinopteri, Siluriformes, Ictaluridae.